CAAGGCAGAAUUGGCCUUGAAUAAGGGGAAGAGAGAUCUCCUUGGAAGCAGGGGUGAAGGAGGAGAAGAUGGAGUAGAUUCAGGAGUGUCUGUCAAUUUGGUGGUACGAAGCUGGGAGAGUUUCUUUAGUGUGGAUUCUAUUAACUAUGUGGAGUAAGCGGUAAGGUUGUCUGCUGGGAGGCUGAAGGGGAAAGUGAGAUUUAUGUAAUGGACCAGCAGCAGAUGAAGAUUAGGAAGAACUUCACCAAAAGAAUGAAGGAAUGAGUGGAGUCACCAACAUCCGUGUAGCAUUUCAUAACUUAUAAAUCACCCCUGUAUAUUUCCUUUCAUUUGAUCCUUAUUUCAACCACACUAGUUGGGUGAUAUUAUCCUCCAUCUUUCAGAUGAGAAUAAGGUUUAAAUUGAGUUCAAAUUAUUCUGGGACCCACACCCUCUCAAAAGGACUCCAGGGAGCCAAGGCAGCACUCCACCCUAACCAGCUUAGUGUUUUUUGUCUUUGUAGGUCUCCACUGUUUCUGAAUCCCCUUCCUACAUUUGGAGAAUAUGUCAUCAUGUGAUUCUUGGUGUGAGCGGAGCUGGCCUCUCAGCAGUGAAGUCUAGAAGGCCGGUUACCUGACCUCCGGGGCCCCUCUGGUGUCCAGUAUGCAGGAGACUGCCCCAUGCUCCAGCAAUCACAUGACCCUUCCUGAACUGUGAGGCUAGGAAACAGGGAUAGUGGAGGAUGCUUUGGGGGGGGGGGAGGUGGUAGCAGUGGCAGUGGCAGCAGCAUUGGGUUUCCAGGGGCUGUGCCAGAGAUGAAGUCACAUGCAGCAGUGACGCAGACUGAGGGAAACUUUCCAAACUGUCUGCAGGGAGCUGGGGUUGUGCUUCGUCGGCCUUCUUUCUUUGGUGUCUGCCUGUUCUCGGAGCCUUUCUCCAGCCAUUCUGAAGAGUUUGUGAGCUGCCCAGUAUCCUCUCAGUCAAGUCCACUUCUGCUCUGUUCAACCAGAGUCAUUUCUGCUGUUUGUGACCAACAACCCUGACUGGUACACUGGUUUAACCCAAAAGCUUAGUUCUGUCCGAGAAAAGAGCCUGCAGUUCACCUUGGUGUAUUUAAGUUCUCAACAUUCAAGUUAUGUAGAAGACCCCAGAUUAAGGAGUGGGCACUGACACUCAUCCUGCUUGCUCAGGAAACUGUGCCUCAUUCAGACUGUACCAUCAGAGGAGAACAGGAAUUCUUACAAACAGGAGGACACCUUACUCAUGCAUUAGGUGUUUUCACGUGACUUGGAGGAGUUUGAGGGUGGAAUGACCCAUGUGUCAGAAGCUUAGGAGCAAAUCAGGAAGCAGUGUUGAACCAUUGGGUUGACUUUGCCACCUGAGGGUCAGGGAUAGUCUUCAGUUUUUCAGAGAUGGCUUAAGUCUCAAAAGUCUGUGUGGUAUUUAUUUGCCAUUGACACCAGGCUUGCCAAAAAUCUCAUUCUGACUGUUGGAAGGCUAGCUGGAGAGUGGUUGAUUGGUGAUGUCUGCCAUGAGUGCAGGGAUGGGGGCUUGUGCCGAUCCCUGAUUUAGAUCCAGAUCUUGGAGGCAGAAGCUCAUGAAGGGCACAUCAAGGUUAGCCCCAGCUUCAUGUAGUUAUAUUUAUGAGUUCCCCUUUGGCAGAUGAAGUAGCCAAGACCUAUAUUAUCACCAUUGAAGCUCAAACCAAGAUGGAAUACAGGCCUUGUAUUUUCCUUUACUUCCUAGCAUGGAAUCCUUACGUGGCAUUAGGGGAUCUGGCAAACUGUCCUCUACUCCCUCUGUUGUUCAUCUACAAAGGGCAUUUGUUUUUGAGAAAUUCAUAAAGCAACAAUUAUAGUUAUUAUUACACAUCAGUGUUAGAAAACUGAUAGCUCAAAUGAAACAAAAGUAAGCAGAGAAAUAGAUCAUUUGACUAAUACAAAGAAAAGCUUGAGCUAUUACAAUUGUGUAGAACUCUACACCCAGCAAUAGAAAAUGCAACUCUUUUUGGACACACGAGAAACUCUUGUAAAAACUGAUCAUAUACUAGGCUGCAAAGGAAGCCUCAAUAAAUUCCAAGGAAUGAUAAUUAUCUAGAUUAUAUUGUCUGAUCAUAAUGCUAUAAAACCAAAAGUUAAAAUAAAGUUACCAAGAAAAAUUCCAAAUGUCUGAAAACUAAAUAAUAUUACUAAGAAACUCUUGGAUUAAAAGGGAGAUUUACUUGUUAAAUUUCUAAUAAUCAUGAGAAAAAUUAGUAAAAAUAAAAAUAAUACUGAAAAAAAAUAAGAAUACUCUGUAUCCAGUUAAGUGGGGGCAUAGCUAAAACAGUUGUCAGAGGAGAAUCUUGCUUUAAAUCUGUUUUUCAGGAAACAAAGAUGAUUAACAUUGAAUGAGUUAAGAAUUCAACACAAGAAGUUGCAAAAGAGCAACAGAACAAAUCAAAAUAAACAAAAAGGAAAGAAAUAAGAAAUAUGAGGGCAGGAAUCAAUGGAGAGCAUACAAACAAAUAAAAACAACAGAGAAGACUGAUAACUAAAAGCUUCUUUUUCAUUUUGGAAAUAUAAACAGCAGAAACCACCCUAUUACUAUUUAAUAAUUAAUAAAGAUAUAAAUUAACACAGACUAAUCAGGGAAAAAGAUUUAAUAAGGAAAAUACAGAUCUUUUCAACAGAAAAAGCUAUAGAUACAGAGAUACAAAAAUGAUAAGAGAACUAAGUUAUGAAUAACUUUAUCCUACUAAAUUUGGAAACCCUGUAUGAAAUGAAAACAUCUGGAGAACAUGAUUAAAUGCCUAUAUUGGUAAAAGAAUAGAAAAUUUGAAUAAAGAAAUAAGCACUAAAAAUUAAAAGAGUAAUCAAAGAGCUCCUCUCCGAAAAGGUACCUUGCCCUUACAGUUUUACAGUUCAAUUCUAGCAAUCUCAAAAUAGAAAAACACUAAAAUCUGUCUCCAUCAUUUUUAAGUUGAAGAUAAUCUUUAUCCAACGUUUGAUAAGGACAAUACAAGAAAAGAAAAUUACUAAUCUCUUUGGCUUAUGAUCACAGAUAUAAAAGUCCUAAAUAAAAUAUUGUAGUAGCUUGUUAAAUGUUAAUAGUUAAAAAAAUUAAUGUAUUGUCAUUUGGGAGGUUCAUUCAGGAAUCAAAGGAUGACAACAUAGUAAUAUAGUCACCACAUUAAGAGACUAAAGGAGAAAAAAAAAUCACAUAUUUAUCUCAGUAGAUUAAGAAAGCUCAAUACCUAUUUGUAAUGAAAAACUUAAAGCACAAAUUAUACUUAAUGGAGAAAAAUGCAUUCCCUUUAAGAUCAGGAACAAGACAAGCAUCGCCAUGAUCACUCACUAGUGUUAGCACAACACUGGGUUUCCUAGCCAACACUAUAAACAAAGAAAAAGAAAUAAGAGGUGUGAAUUAGUGGGAAGGAAUGAAACCGUCACUGUUUGCAGAGAAUGUGAUCAUCUACACAGCAAAAGCAACAGAUUCAACUAACUAUGAGAAGUAAGCAAGCUGGCCAGAUUCAAGAUCAGUUCAGGAAUAGCAAUAGAAUUUCUCCAGACCAGCAAAAACAGAUUAGAAAAUAUAUUUAAAAAGAAUAAUAUUCAUGGCAUCAACCAAAACUAUGAACUAUUUAGAGAUUAACAAAAAAAUAGACAAGACCUCUACGGGAGAAAUAUUAAAAUUCUUAAAGCCUUUAAAAGUAAGCCCUGAAUAAAUGGUUAGAGUAAUUUCUAUGUAUUUGAGUGAGAUGACAAUAUAAAAUUACGUUUAUUUUCUCAAAUUAACUUAUAUAGUCAAGGCAAUCCCAACAAAAUUCUAGUAGGACUACUUGUUGGAGUUUGAUAGAUGUGUUUGGAGAGUUGUAUGGGAAAAAUAAAGGUUCACGAAGAACUCACAAGUUUGAAAAAGGAGAAUGAGGAGAGAGAAUUCACCCUAUCAGAUAUAGACACGAUACCAGUCUUGUUGUGGCAAAAAACAGACAACAGAGCAGUGUAACAGAGCAGAGCGCUCAGCUGCAGACCAUGUGUAUAAAGGAAUUUAAGAAGUGAUAAAGAUGACCUACUUAAGAUUGGAUCCUGUGGCAGAUUCUAUUCCCAAAGAUGAUUGCGGCAUUCUCUCUUUUCCCCCCAAGGGCUUUCUACAAUGUGACUUUGACUGUUUUCCUACUGAGAGGUGGGGCAUAUGUUCCCUCCCCUUGAUUCUGGGCAGGUUUUGACUACAAUCGAAGUAACGCUAAGUGAAUUCUGAAGCUUGGGUGUAUGAAGUGGUACAGACUUUGCCUUUUGUUUUUGCCUUGGAACUCAGCCAUCAUAACGGGAGGAGGCCCAAACAGCCUGUGAUGAGUGAGGUGCAAGUGGAAAGGAACUGUGGCCGCCAGCCCUCAGCCUUAGCCAAACUCCCAGCUGCCAGCCAGCAGGAACCUGCCAGCCAUAAGUGAGCCAUCUUGAAAGCGCAUCCUUCAGCCCCAGUCAAGCCAUCUCAGCUGGCGCUGUGUGGCACAAAGAUGAACCAUCCUUGUUCAUCCCUACCUACAAUGCAGCAAAACUACAGUGCGUUGUUCCCAGGUUCACCUCUGGGAUGAGAUCUGGACGAGAAUAAUCAUGCCUGCCCCUUCACCUCUGGCCGCACUCUGAGAAGUGCCAAGAAGGUCAUAUCAAAGACCCAGAGGGGAGAGAUGGAGCUAAGUGGUUCCAAACAUUUAGAGCACGGAAUUGAGCUACUUUUUCAAAAUGGAGAAUGCAGGUUUGAACUCUACCUGGGAUGAGUGACAAUGGGAACAUCUGGGUUUUUUUUCAGAGAAGAAUCCACCCUUAUGGUGUUGUGGCCCUUUGGGCUUACUAAGACGGUCAUACAACCCCAAAGCGAGUACACAUCCCCAAAUCCAGGCUGUUCAGCUUUAUAAAUGUCAACUAUGGGGCAUCAAUAGCCCAACCCAGGUAAGGCCUAAGCCACUUCCUUUUAUUUUUCAAUAUUCUUUUAUUACAAAAGUAAUAUUAAAGUGUUAACAUUUAAGACAAAAAAUGAGUUUUAUGUA
Molecule: long non-coding RNA, 5005 nt
Organism: Equus caballus (horse)
Lineage: Eukaryota; Metazoa; Chordata; Mammalia; Perissodactyla; Equidae
Source: RefSeq, a predicted model, not a curated record